RNAcentral lists this ribosomal RNA (449 nucleotides) under uncultured bacterium. RNAcentral's name for it is "partial 16S ribosomal RNA". It matches the Rfam family "Bacterial small subunit ribosomal RNA", at positions 354 to 796 of the family's 1533-position model. The record is from RNAcentral.
GUCGAGAAUCUUUCACAAUGGGGGCAACCCUGAUGGAGCGACGCCGCGUGGAGGAUAAGGUCUUCGGAUCGUAAACUCCUGUCAUGCGUGAACAAGGUUGCUUGGUUAAUACCUGGGCAAAUUGAUGGUAACGCAAGAGGAAGAGACGGCUAACUCUGUGCCAGCAGCCGCGGUAAUACAGAGGUCUCAAGCGUUGUUCGGAAUCACUGGGCGUAAAGGGUGCGUAGGUGGCGUGGUAAGUCAGAUGUGAAAGCCCGGGGCUCAACCUCGGAACUGCAUCCGAUACUGCCAUGCUAGAGUACUGGAGAGGUGACUAGAAUUCUCGGUGUAGCAGUGAAAUGCGUAGAUAUCGAGAGGAAUACCAAAGGCGUAGGCAGGUCACUGGACAGUUACUGACACUGAGGCACGAAGGCCAGGGGAGCGAACGGGAUUAGAUACCCUUGUAGUCC